RNAcentral lists this ribosomal RNA (488 nucleotides) under uncultured bacterium. RNAcentral's name for it is "bacterial SSU rRNA". It matches the Rfam family "Bacterial small subunit ribosomal RNA", at positions 28 to 507 of the family's 1533-position model. The record is from RNAcentral.
GAUGAACGCUAGCGGGAGGCUUAACACAUGCAAGUCGAGGGGCAGCAUAGGGUAGCAAUACUCUGAUGGCGACCGGCAAACGGGUGAGUAACGCGUAUGUAACCUACCCUGUACAGGGGGAUAACCCGGAGAAAUUCGGACUAAUAUCCCAUAACAAUAUCCGGGGGCAUCUUUGGAUAUUUAAAGUUCCGGCGGUACGGGAUGGGCAUGCGUAACAUUAGCUAGUUGGUAAGGUAACGGCUUACCAAGGCUUUGAUGUUUAGGGGUCCUGAGAGGGUGGUCCCCCACACUGGUACUGAGACACGGACCAGACUCCUACGGGAGGCAGCAGUGAGGAAUAUUGGUCAAUGGGCGCAAGCCUGAACCAGCCAAUCCCGCGUGCAGGAAGACGGCGCUAUGCGUUGUAAACUGCUUUUCCAGGGAGAGAAACUUGCGCACGUGUUGCGCAAUUGACGGUACCCUGGGAAUAAGCAUCGGCUAACUCCGUG